RNAcentral lists this ribosomal RNA (449 nucleotides) under uncultured organism. RNAcentral's name for it is "partial 16S ribosomal RNA". It matches the Rfam family "Bacterial small subunit ribosomal RNA", at positions 331 to 797 of the family's 1533-position model. The record is from RNAcentral.
GUACACUCCUACGGGAGGCAGCAGUGGGGAAUAUUGGACAAUGGGGGCAACCCUGAUCCAGCCAUGCCGCGUGAGUGAUGAAGGCCCUAGGGUUGUAAAGCUCUUUUGUGCGGGAAGAUAAUGACGGUACCGCAAGAAUAAGCCCCGGCUAACUUCGUGCCAGCAGCCGCGGUAAUACGAAGGGGGCUAGCGUUGCUCGGAAUCACUGGGCGUAAAGGGUGCGUAGGCGGGUCUUUAAGUCAGGGGUGAAAUCCUGGAGCUCAACUCCAGAACUGCCUUUGAUACUGAGGAUCUUGAGUCCGGAAGAGGUGAGUGGAACUGCGAGUGUAGAGGUGAAAUUCGUAGAUAUUCGCAAGAACACCAGUGGCGAAGGCGGCUCACUGGUCCGGUACUGACGCUGAGGCACGAAAGCGUGGGGAGCAAACAGGAUUAGAUACCCUGGUAGUCCC